This 71-nucleotide transfer RNA is filed under the name Pertusaria propinqua. RNAcentral describes it as "tRNA-Trp". It matches the Rfam family "tRNA". Rfam says of the family: Transfer RNA (tRNA) molecules are approximately 80 nucleotides in length. Lineage: Eukaryota; Fungi; Ascomycota; Lecanoromycetes; Pertusariales; Pertusariaceae. The record is from RNAcentral.
AAGAGUGUGAUUUAAUGGUAAAAUAUAAAGCUUCAAACUUUAAAUUCUUAGUACUAAUUUAAGCGCUUUUU